CAGAUCAUACCUUCAGUUGACUCCUGCAUGCAUGCACUCUUAAAAUUAGUUCAAAAGAUGCAGAUCUGUCUGACCCGGCCUAUCACUCAGAAUCUCACCCGGCCUAUCACUCAGAAUCUCAGAUCAUACUCUCAGUUCACUAUAUAUAUAUUUGAGCUGUAUUUCUAAUUUUCUAUAGUUAAAUUGUUUUUUUUCUUGAUUUUUUAGAAGUGUCUAUCUUUAAAUCUCUUCACAGGGUUGGCCGGGGCUAAUUUCUGGUUCUCUGAAGUGGAUUAAUUAGGUGAUCGAGUCGGAUCGACAAGCAAAUCUAGAUCUCUGCUGAAGAUCUCCUUUCUUUUUUCCAUUACACUUAAAUAAUAGCACCUUACUCAUCAUGGUCUCCGGCGGUAGGUAUAAGGUACGACUACUGACCAUUGAGUAAAGUUUCCAGACAAUUAGAUGCAAAGUUUGUGCCAAAGAUUUAGGGCAUCCCAUCAUUUCAUGCUCCCAAAUUAUACACUUCACAUACUAGUCACUGCUGCUUUGAACCUACUGUUCAAUCUUUGGAAAUAAAAGGGGAAAAAUCGAUGAAAGCUACGGUAAAUGGUUAGUAGAUCGAUCAUAUUCAAGAGCAAAACUGUGGAUUUUUCAUUGUUUCUUUCUUGUGUUUUUAUGCUAGAACUCGAAAAAUACAUGUUAGUUGCAGAGGUUUGAACCCCAUGCCAGAACCAGUAUGGCGUAUUAUUGGUUUUUGAAUUUGAGAAAAGUGAUAAGCUAGCUAGCUAGUUUCAGCAAUCUGAGUGAUGAAAAGAUGAACAAAUCGGAGUCGCUAGAUUCAUGCAGGCUUGCAGUGCAGAGGUACAAAACGUUGGUGGCGGACCAUGCUAGUCGCUGACAGCCUUGUCGUUCUUGUUCAUUACCCAUAUCUCAAAGAAUCACACAGAUGGCUCCAUUUCUUCAAUCAUCACGAUUAUCUGGACUGUUGUAAAUUUGGAAUCCACUCCAAUAUAUAACAACAGAUCAACAACAUUCAGGAUGAUCAGUAUUCACUAGCUCGCUACAGCUGAUCAAUAACGAUCGAGCUAGCCAAACACAGGGUUAUCAUAUUCGUUUAUGUUAACUGCUGAUCACAUCUUCAAUUGUAUGUUAAGAAACUAUGUGUUUCUGGGUUAUUCCUGCGACCCCAAAUUUGUGUGCUUGAAUUAUCUUUGUCUUUUUUGUAAGUUCAGUUAUGAGUUAUGAUCACAGAACAAUGCAUACUGUAAUAUCAACUGAAACAAAUUUAGUGUGUUGCAAUGGGCUGGUAUAACGGUAUUCCUG
RNAcentral lists this long non-coding RNA (1299 nucleotides) under Fragaria vesca (wild strawberry). RNAcentral's name for it is "long non-coding RNA (FVES_LNC003943)". Lineage: Eukaryota; Viridiplantae; Streptophyta; Magnoliopsida; Rosales; Rosaceae. The record is from RNAcentral.